UGGGUCAAGGUGUGAGAUUUCCUGGAACUGGAGUUACAAACACAUGUGAGCUGCCAUGUGGGGUUCUGGCAAUCAAACCCAAAUUCUCUGGAAGAGCAGCCAGUGUACUUAACUAACCAUUGAGCCAUCU
Peromyscus maniculatus bairdii (prairie deer mouse) is the source of this 130-nucleotide non-coding RNA. NCBI's taxonomy places the organism in Eukaryota, Metazoa, Chordata, Mammalia, Rodentia, Cricetidae. The record is from RefSeq and is a predicted model, not a curated record.